RNA transcript from Pistacia vera, 2795 nucleotides. It is a transcript of the gene named KH domain-containing protein HEN4-like, with no coding region annotated. The record is from RefSeq and is a predicted model, not a curated record. The transcript has 10 exons. Lineage: Eukaryota; Viridiplantae; Streptophyta; Magnoliopsida; Sapindales; Anacardiaceae.
AAAAAUAGAUUUGGGUGGAGCUAUUUCUUCCUCAUUUCGCAGGAAACCAUCACGAUAUUUUUAGUUGACAAUCACUGAAGACGACCAGAAAUUCCACUGAAAAGUACGAGGAAUCAGAUUGACUUGCUUCUUCAAUAUCCGAAGAGUCUGUGAGUAUCUGUAUACGCAUAUUCUCAUUCUUAUUCAACUUCAUAUUUCGUUCCAUUGGAAGGAGUGUGCAUAUUAGAGUGAAACAGGGCUGCAUAAUUUUGUAAAUAUGUCUGUUCCCUUGACUCCUGCUAAAAGGUCAUCUGAUCACAACCAUACAGAGUCAAAUGGGAAAGGGAAAUGGCAAAAGUUUGCCGGCAAUUAUUCACAGGAUAAGUCUUCAAAAUCCUUCGAUAGCGAUGUUACAUUCCGCGUUCUUUGUCCAGUUUCCAAAAUUGAUGGUAUUGUUGGAAAAGAUGCAAUCAUAUCACAAAUUAGUCAAGAAACUGGUGCGAUGAUCACAGUUAAGGAGAUUGUUCCUGGUUGUGACGAGAGAGUAGUUGUCAUUGCUCGCUCUGAUAAAGAGUCAGAAGCCAGUAUUGAGCAGAGCAAGGAGGGUGGUGUUGAGGAGACCAAUGCGACAGAAGAGGAUGACAGUAAAAUUAAAGAUAGUGAGAAUGAUGGAGACAAGGAAUCAGAUCCUUUGGCUGAUUCUAAAUCUGAAAACGAAACUUCACAUUUGCAGAAGGCUUUGUUACUUGUUUUUGAAAAACUUGCAGCAGAACCUGAUACAGAUGGAGGUGAUGAGGAAAAUAAUAAUUCUUCAACAUUUAUUUUGAGAUUACUUGUGCUUUCUAAUCAAGUUGGCUGCCUUUUGGGGAAAGGAGGCAGUGUAAUCAAGCUAAUGUCUGCUGAUAGUGGGGCACAGAUUCGGGUUCUUCCGAGAGACAAACUUCCUACUUGUGCAUCAGCUUCUGAUGAAGUAGUUCAGAUCUCAGGAGAGAUUGAUGCAGUUAGGAAAGCUCUUCAUUCUGUUUCUCAACAACUUUUGGAGAAACCUCGGGAUCAUGAUUCUUUCCCGGCCAAUCCAACUGAGCCACCACAUCCCCCUAACCAUUCUUUUGGUUCUCAAGGAGCACCUUAUUCUUCUGGGCGUCGGGAUGUUGCUGCUCAUUCAUCUAUCCCCCCGUUGAUCCCUAAGUUUCAUGAGAGUGGUGUCCCAGGCCGACUGAAGCCUUUACAGGAACUUCUAACAUUCCGCAUAUUGUGCCAUGAUGAGAGAGUAGGAGGUGUCAUUGGAAAGGGAGGAGCAAUAAUAAAGACACUUCAGCAAGAGACUGGAUGUGAGAUUAAAGUUCUAGAAGCUGUUUCUGAUACAGAUGACCGCAUCAUUGUUGUAUCUGGUCCAGCACACCCAGAUGAUCGGAUUUCACCUCCACAAGAUGCAGUUCUUCGUGUGCAGACUAGGAUAACUAGGGCUAUUCCUGAUAGCAGGGAGCAGGUCAUGGCAAGGCUUCUUGUAUCGUCUAAUCAAAUUGGCUGUCUUCUCGGUAAGGGUGGUGCUAUCAUAGCUGAGAUGAGAAAGUUAACUGGGGCUUAUAUUCGCAUAUUGGGGAAGGAUCAGAUUCCUAAGUGUGCUUCUGAAAGCGAAGAAGUUGUUCAGAUUAAUGGAGAAUUUGAAGCAGUUCAAGAGGCUCUUUUGCAGAUAACAACUAGGUUGCGUAAUCAUUUUUUCCGUGAUGCAUUUCCUUCAAUGAACCAUCCUCUAAAUCCUGCCUUUCUGGAUCAUGUACCUCCAUUUCCUUCAUAUGUGGGAAGGAGGGAACACUCACCUCCAGGAAUGUAUUCUAAUUUUGGUCCAUCAUUUCACAAGUUUGAUGUUGUUGGUGGCCCACCUCCACAUGGUGGUUUUCAUCCCCAUGAUGAUCGUUCUCUUUUUAUGCAUCAUGUUCGUAGACCAGGCAUGGCCCCUCAUGUACCUGAAAGGAAACCAUGGGGAGCUCAGGGAUUUAUCGAAGGUGGUGGCUCAAUUGGUUUGCCAGAUUUUGCUGGACCUCCUCAUAGAAGAAUUUUGGGUUUUGGAGGAGGAAGUCAGCCAGCUAUUAUAACAAGUACUACUGUUGAAGUUGUUGUUCCUCGUUCUCUUGUUCCUAUAAUUGAAGGAGAAGAUGGUGCAUGUUUGAAACAAAUUCGUCAGAUCUCGGAUGCAAAAAUUACAAUUACUGAGCCCAAGCCUGGAGCAACUGAAACUGUGAUCAUUAUAUCUGGGACACCAGAACAAACUCAUGCUGCACAAAGUCUUAUUCAGGCAUUUGUGGUGAGUGAGACAGAAUCUACUUGAGCUAUCAGCGCUAGAGCCAACUGUACUCUAGCGACUUCAGCACUAGAGUGGCUUUCCUUAACUGCUGGAGUGAAGAGAGAAAAAGUGGAAAGAGAUUGGAUGAAGAGUCUUAUCUACUAAGCCAAUUAAAAAGAGUACGUGUUGCUGAAACUUAAGACCUCAACUGAAGAUCUUGAAGAACGGAGAUUGCCAGAAAUUUGUGUUUGCAAGUCCACUUAGUAUGAGGACAUUUACUUAACAUGGAUAGGGACAGAUUUUUGCUUUAUUAACUUAUUAGUCCCAUUAUAGAAAGCAUUCCUCUCCCAUCUCACUUGAAUGUCGAUCAGAUUGUAUCUCAGGUCUUAGACACGCUGGAAAGAAACAAUCUUUGGACUAACAUAAACAUUGUAUCGAUUGAACUUCUAAGUAACAUCAAGGAAAAUAUUAUAGCUCAUGCUGAGUUGUCACAUUGGUGUACUUAUUUGUGAUCCUGUUAUUUCUUUUAGUA